Long non-coding RNA from Lycium barbarum (goji berry), 477 nucleotides. RefSeq lists it as uncharacterized. The record is from RefSeq and is a predicted model, not a curated record. The transcript is spliced from 2 exons. Lineage: Eukaryota; Viridiplantae; Streptophyta; Magnoliopsida; Solanales; Solanaceae.
AUUUUAUUCUUAAUCUAAAAAGAAAAAAAACAAGAGAAAGAAAGGGAAUCAACAAAGAGAGCAGUUAGUCGUCUGGAAAAGUAGAGCUAUCAACGUGUAAAUUUUCUUGAAUAAUAAAGAAGGCAUCCAGGUGUGGUUAACAGUGACCAGGUAGCCGAUACUUGAUUCAUUCCAGCUUCGUUCAGUCCAGUUCAGUCGAGGUGAGCCACCAUUAGAUCAUGGCGGCCUCUUCUUCUUUAGUUGACUUAGUAGUAUUCCGAGCUACGUAUUAUACUUUUAUAUUCAGACUAGUAGUUCCAUGACUUAGACAUUUUAUGGGGUUUAUGGGCAAGACUCAGUAUUUGUAUUUCAGGCGGCCUCUUCUUCUUUAGUUGACUUAGUAGUAUUCCGAGCUACGUCUCAUACUAUUAUAUUCAGACUAGUAGUUCCAUGACUUAGACAUUUUAUGGGAUUUAUGGGCAAGACUUAGUAUUUGUA